This 766-nucleotide ribosomal RNA is filed under the name uncultured bacterium. RNAcentral's name for it is "bacterial SSU rRNA". It matches the Rfam family "Bacterial small subunit ribosomal RNA", at positions 10 to 767 of the family's 1533-position model. The record is from RNAcentral.
AGUUUGAUCCUGGCUCAGAUUGAACGCUGGCGGCAGGCCUAACACAUGCAAGUCGAGCGGAUGAAGGGAGCUUGCUCUCUGAUUCAGCGGCGGACGGGUGAUUAAUGCCUAAGAAUCUGCCUGGUAGUGGGGGACAACGUUUCAAAAGGAACGCUAAUACCGCAUACGUCCUACGGAAGAAAGCAGGGGACCUUCGGGCCUUGCGCUAUCAGAUGAGCCCAGGUCGGAUUAGCUAGUAGGUGAAGGUAAUGGCUUCACCUAGGCGACAAUCCCGUAAACUGGUCUGAGAGGAUGAUCAGUCACACUGGAACUGAGACACGGUCCAGACUCCUACGGGAGGCAGCAGUGGGGAAUAUUGGACAAUGGGCGAAAGCCUGAUCCAGCCAUGCCGCGUGUGUGAAGAAGGUCUUCGGAUUGUAAAGCACUUUAAGUUGGGAGGAAGGGCAGUAAGUUAAUACCUUGCUGUUUUGACGUUACCAACAGAAUAAGCACCGGCUAACUUCGUGCCAGCAGCCGCGGUAAUACGAAGGGUGCAAGCGUUAAUCGGAAUUACUGGGCGUAAAGCGCGCGUAGGUGGUUCAGCAAGUUGGAGGUGAAAUCCCCGGGCUCAACCUGGGAACUGCCUCCAAAACUACUGAGCUAGAGUACGGUAGAGGGUAGUGGAAUUUCCUGUGUAGCGGUGAAAUGCGUAGAUAUAGGAAGGAACACCAGUGGCGAAGGCGACUACCUGGACUGAUACUGACACUGAGGUGCGAAAGCGUGGGGA